AGGUGCAGCUGCCAGAUCCUUCAGCGUCCGCAUCUCGGCGUCGCCCAGCGUAGCGUCGCCCGGCUCUCCGCCGCUCUCCCGGGGGUUCGGGGCACUUGGUUCCCACAGUCUGGGUGAGUGGUCGCAGCCCGGGGAGGGGGCUCCUUCUGGAGAGGGGAGCGGGGUCGCGGGGCACUGGAUUCGCGCGGACGCUCGGCUGAGAGCUGUCCUGGUAGCUGCGAGAGGGCGGGUCGUCCCCGUGGCGGGGCCCUCCGGGCUGUCUGAGCGCCGCCGGGUCCCCGCGGACCUGCGCUUGGGGAGGGCGCGAGUUGCGAUUGGCGCGCUAAGCCCGAGGUUUCUUCUCUUUUGCAGUCCUGCUUCACCUUCCCCUGACCUGAGUAGUCGCCAUGGCACAGGUUCUCAGAGGCACUGUGACUGACUUCCCUGGAUUUGAUGAGCGGGCUGAUGCAGAAACUCUUCGGAAGGCCAUGAAAGGCCUGGGCACAGAUGAGGAGAGCAUCCUGACUCUGUUGACAUCCCGAAGUAACGCUCAGCGCCAGGAAAUCUCUGCAGCUUUUAAGACUCUGUUUGGCAGGGAUCUUCUGGAUGACCUGAAAUCAGAACUAACUGGAAAAUUUGAAAAAUUAAUUGUGGCUCUGAUGAAACCCUCUCGGCUUUAUGAUGCUUAUGAACUGAAACAUGCCUUGAAGGGAGCUGGAACAAAUGAAAAAGUACUGACAGAAAUUAUUGCUUCAAGGACACCUGAAGAACUAAGAGCCAUCAAACAAGUUUAUGAAGAAGAAUAUGGCUCAAGCCUGGAAGACGAUGUGGUGGGGGACACUUCAGGGUACUAUCAGCGGAUGUUGGUGGUUCUCCUUCAGGCUAACAGAGACCCUGAUGCUGGAAUUGAUGAAGCUCAAGUUGAACAAGAUGCUCAGGCUUUAUUUCAGGCUGGAGAACUUAAAUGGGGGACAGAUGAAGAAAAGUUUAUCACCAUCUUUGGAACACGAAGUGUGUCUCAUUUGAGAAAGGUGUUUGACAAGUACAUGACUAUAUC
RNAcentral lists this small RNA (1036 nucleotides) under Pongo abelii (Sumatran orangutan). Its description in RNAcentral is "retained intron". Lineage: Eukaryota; Metazoa; Chordata; Mammalia; Primates; Hominidae. The record is from RNAcentral.